GGGUGAGUAACACGUGGAUAACCUACCUAUAAGACUGGGAUAACUUCGGGAAACCGGAGCUAAUACCGGAUAAUAUUUUGAACCGCAUGGUUCAAAAGUGAAAGACGGUCUUGCUGUCACUUAUAGAUGGAUCCGCGCUGCAUUAGCUAGUUGUAAGGUAACGGCUUACCAAGGCAACGAUGCAUAGCCGACCUGAGAGGGUGAUCGGCCACACUGGAACUGAGACACGGUCCAG
RNAcentral lists this ribosomal RNA (235 nucleotides) under uncultured Staphylococcus sp. Its description in RNAcentral is "partial 16S ribosomal RNA". It matches the Rfam family "Bacterial small subunit ribosomal RNA", at positions 104 to 334 of the family's 1533-position model. Lineage: Bacteria; Bacillati; Bacillota; Bacilli; Caryophanales; Staphylococcaceae. The record is from RNAcentral.